AAGUUCAGUUGAAUAAUUAAUGUUCAGCUCUUUGAGUGGAUGGGAGAACUCAGCAUGUCUGAGGUGGCUAUCUCUUCUGGGUAUUGUUUAAGAAUACAUGUAAGGUGGUGAGACCACAUGCUGCUGAAUGUUUGCCUUCAGAUCCUGGAAAUAUUUGUUGCACCCUACCCCUCCACUUUUUCCCUAGCAAUAUUAUUACUGGCCCAGAGAAGCUUCAUUCCAGCAGGAAGGCUGCCAUUUUGAACCAGUUCAAGCAGCCUUUAUAACAGGAAAUGAUUUAUAUCGUUCAUAAGAUGACCAUUAUGAGCAAAUUUGCGGGUAAAUCCAUGACCAUAAGGGAGGAUUUUAAUUUGUGACAAGGAACAUUUCUUUCUGCUUACUGGAGAGAGACAUCUCUGACCCUUAUCUGUGUGAGUUUAUGAUGGAGACAGACCCUGUGGGUAUCUACUGACUUGAAUUGAGGGGUCUUUCUAACACACAGUUCAGUUUCACAAAUAAACCUCCUUAGGUCCUCAUUUGGGGUACAUAACCGGUGAAGAAAAGAAUCAAGUUAACAUUUGUCUCAAACAUCUGCUUUUCUUUUUUAACUGACAAGUGAUUUCUCUCUCAGGACCCAUGGUUGAUACCAAAGAUCAUCACAAGGACCAGAGAGGGUAACUGAAACCAAAUAAGGGGCUCUCACAUCUAGCCCAAGGCAUGCCGCAAGGGGUGAGGAGGAGCGGAAGUCUCAACGAGCAGGGCAACAGACACGCUGUGCGGGGCCAGAAUUCAAGACCCAAGGGCACUUGGCAUAGAAAUUGUAAGCUGAGUUGGACCAAAGCUUCUCACCUGUGAUAGAACAUGCAGUUUUCCAGGUGUGCUGGUGAGGAGCCUCUGCUUUCCUUUGGCUCAGAAGGAAAGGAAAUUUGCAGGAGGCAGUGAAUCUCAGACUCUUCAUUGGUUAUGAGCAGGAAGUCUCUGGAUCCAAGAGGGAGCCUGACAGCAGGGGUUCCUGGGAAUCAUGUCUGGGGCUGGAGAUGACUGGCUCCACCAGUCAGUGAGGAAGGGCUCCCACUGACCCCGCACCCGGACCAGCUUUGGUGAGGAGACAGAGGCCAGGAGGCGUUGGAGCCCUGCUUCCUCGCACACAAGCAGUUAUGGUACUGAAUUUGGAACUGGAGCUGUCACAUGCGCCACUGGUGCACUGGCCUGAGAGGACACUCAGCUGAGGAAGUUCAGGAGCCCCCUUUUGUAUUUUUCACUCAGGUUGAAGGAUAUCUAUCGCCCUUCCACAGAAAGACCCUGAAUUGGGAGCCAUGUGGGAAGAAGACUGGAUUGGCUAUCAGUCAGAGUCCAGCCUGGGUUUCUUCCAGAUGACCCCACCCGUCCGCCAUCUGGUCUCAGGGGGAAUACAUGGCUUUCUCCUCGCUUCUUUGCAUUUUCCCAGUGCCUUUGAUCUUGGAAAUGUUACCAGAAUGAUGGCUGCAUUUUCAGUGGUGGAAAUGAUUGAUACAUCUCAGAAGCAAAGACUCAUAGGACAUCCACUUCCCAGGGGUGAUGUAUGACUCUCACAAAAGCCACACCAUUAUUUAUAAUACCCUAAUGAGGUGGUUUUUUUUUUCCCCCAUAGAAACAGAACAGGGAUUCCUAACGUUUCCUAGAAUUUUUCUCCCCAAAAAAGAAAGAAAAAAAGAAUUCAUCUAAAUGUCCAUUUGUUAGCCUCGCAUUGGAAGGGACGAGCCUUAGAGAAUAACUUAUGAGUAAACCAAAACCAUCCUUCAUCUCCUUCACAUCAGCCUGACCCCGAAGAGUUUCCUGGAGCUCACAGGAAGGUUUAUUGAAAAGAUAAAUCUGCUUUGGAGGGCAUUUAUAUUUCAAGGAGAGAUGGAAUUUGGGGAAGUGCCACAUAGAUAUCUGUCAUUCUACAAAUCAUAUUUAUUGUCAGUGACCUGAAGUCUGGAGCAUGUUGUGAUGGUUAAAUAAUGUCCAUAGUUUUGCUCUCCAGGAAUGCUUUUGUCCCCCACCUUAUCAUUACUACUCUGUGCUGGGUCUUUCAGGCCUCCAGCAGAUAAGCUGCUUAUAUUUAUCUGAGUAGUUGGUUAAUUUUGGAGGCAAUCGCCUUGCAGGUAUAAUUUUCUUCCUUUGACAGAGAACAAAGCCUGGAUUCCUAUCCUUUUUGUUUCCUUAUUCAAGCUUUGUUUCCCACCAGGCUCUUACCAGUUCUGUUUAAUUAAAGAAAAUAUGAUUGAUUACGUAUGUAGAUUCCUCCAAAAAGAUCUCCAUAUGCCUGUGUGUGCUCAUGUACAUACACAUAUCCCCACAGUACAUGUAUACUUCUGUAUAUGUUUUUUUUUUUUUGACUAGGUCUUUCCUGAAAAAACAUUUGAGUAUGAUAAAAGCUGCCCAAGAAGAGGAAGGAAGAAGGGGUGGUACUUCUGGGUUAUGAGAAAGGAUUCACGUUGUCCAGGGAGCACGCGCAGAGCUCUGACGCGAUGCCAGUCCAACAGCGACCAAACGCGCAGUGGAUGAAAGAUGGUAUUAUUACAGGAGCGUCAGAUAGCACAAUAUAUGAAUCACUGUGGUUGGAAUCGUUGUUAAAUGAUUGCUAAAUUAUUUUCCUGGUGGAAGCAACUUAAACUGUUGAAAGAAGAUGAAGUAGAAUCAAGACACUUGGUGUGGUGGCUGGAAGGCUGAAGAGUGGAGUCAUCUGAAGGGCCCUCAUUCAUGUGCCUGGCGGUGGAUGUUGACUGUUGGCUGGCACCAGCAUGGGGCUGGGGCUGGAACACCCACGUGUGGCCCCUCCACGUAGCUGCUUAUCUUCCCCACAAUAUGGCAGCUGGGUUCCAGAAUCUGAGUCAAGACAGUCGCAAAGCAUUGCCCUGGUGCAAGGAGAGAGAAAGUAGACUCCAUCUCUUGACGGUCAAGUAGCAAGUUUUGCAAGAACAGAUGAGACUGGAAAUACUAAUGUGGCCAUUUCAGGGAGAUACAGCCUGCCCCAGUAAGUCCUCUCCUUUCUGCCAUUGUACCACAUAUGAGCAGAGCAAAUGUGGACAAUUACCCAGAUCCUCUUGGCUUCCCAUAUGAAUAUCCUUCAGGCACCUCUGGCUGGAACUCAUGAACUAAAUGAACUACAAUUAAUUAUGGUUACACGAAAUGAAUGUGCCAUCCCUCACAUAAGUGGAAAUAUUUGUAUGGAGCUGCAAAGGAUGUGUAAGAUUUCUACAGGCAGAGGAAACAGAACAAACAAAGGCCCAGAUGCUUGAAGUUGCCUGGCACAUUCAAGGAUAGAACCCGAUGCGUAGAACCCAGUGUUCACUUCUGAGUUUCUAAAUCAACGAUCAAGUCAAAGCAAUGACUGAUUAACUGUUAAUCUGAUUUGCUGCAUUUAUGGAUUUCCAUUUAAAAGCUGAUGAGGCACAGACAUAUUUUACUCCAGAAGAAAAAGAGCUAAUACAGAAAUUAGAUCCUAUUUCAGUUUUUACUAAGAAAGUUCACACUGAGUGUCAAAGCACCAGUAUUAUUAUACAUAUAAAUAUUGAUUGGUCUAAUAAUUUUUCUUUUUUUAAUUGAAGUAUAGUGGAUGUACAAUGUGUUAAUUUCAGGUGUACAGCAAAGUGAUUCAGUUAUACAUGCACAUAUGUAUAUUCUUCUUCAGAUACUUUUCCAUUAUAGGUUAUUACAAGACAUUGAAUAUAGUUCCCUGUACCAUACAGUACGUCCUUGUUUAUCUAUUUAAGUGUGUGUAUGUUCAUUUCAAACUCCUACUUUAUCCCUCCCCAUCUUUCCCCUUUGGUAACCAUAAGUUUGUUUUCUAUAUCUAUAAGUCUAUUUCUGUUUUGUAAAUAAGUUCAUUUGUAUCAUUUUUUAGAUUCCACAUAAAAGUGAUUCAUGCUAUUUGUCUUUCUCUGUCUCACUUCACUUAAUGUGAUGAUCUCCAGGUCAUCCACGUUGCUGCAAGUGGCCCUAUUUCAUUCUUUUUUAUGACUGAGUAGUACUCCAUUAUAUAUACAAACAUAUAUAUAUAAACUUUUUCUUUAAUCUAUUUUUUAUAUAUAGUGGCUAACAUUUGUAAAUCUCAAACUCCCAAAUUUAUCCCUUCCCACCCUCUUUCCCCAGUAACCAGAAGAUUGCUUACUAUGUCUGUGAGUCUGUUUCUGUUCUGUAGUUGAGUUCACAGGGUCCUUUUUUCUUUUCUUUUUUUUUUUUUCAAAUUCCAUGUAUGAGUGAUACCAUAUGGUAUUUUUCUUUCUCUUUCUGGCUUACUUCACUUAGAAUGACAUUCUCCAGGUCCAUCCAUGUUGCUGCAAAUUGCAUUUUAUUCUUUUGCAUGGCUGAGUAGUAUUCCAUUGUAUAAAUAUACCACAGCUUCUUUAUCCAGUCAACUGUCGAUGGACAUUUAGGUUGUUUCCAUGUCUUAGCUAUUGUAAAUAGCGCUGCUAUGAACCUUGGGGUUCAGGCGUCUUUUUGAAUUAGGGUUCCUUCUGGAUAUAGGCCCAGAAGUGGGAUUGCUGGAUCAUAUAGUAAGACUAUUUUUACUUUUUUGAGGACUCUCCAUACUGUUUUCCAUAACAGCUGCACCAAACUACAUUCCCAUCAGCAGUGUAGGAGGGUUCCCUUUUCUCCACACUCUCCAGCAUUUAUCGUUUGUGGACUUUUGAAUGAUGGGCAUUCUGACUGGUGUGAGGUGAUACUCAUUGUAGUUUUGAUUUCCAUUUCUCUGAUAAUUAACGAUACUGAGCAUUUUUUCUUGUGCCUAUUGGCCAUUUGUAUGUCUUCAUUGGAGAAUUGCUUGUUUAGGUCCUCUGCCCAUUUUUAGAUUGGGUUGUUUGUUUUUUUGUUCUUAAGUUGUAUGAGCUGUUUAUAUAUUCUGGAAAUUAAGCCUUUGUCACCUGCAUCAUUUGCAGAUAUUUUCUCCCAUUCUGUAAGUUGUCCUUUUGUUUUACUUAUGGUUUCCUUUGCUGUGCAAAAGCUUUUGAAUUUAAUUAGGUCCCAUUUGUUUAUUUUUGCUCUUAUUUUCAUUGCCUGGGUAGACUGCCCUCUAUUUUUAUUUUUUUAAGGAAUCUCCAUACUGUCCUCCAUAGUGACUGCACCAAUUUACGUUCCCACCAACAGUGUAGGAGGGUUCCUUUUUCUCCACAUCCUCUGCAGCAUUUGUUUGUAGACUUUUUGAUGACCAGUGUAAGGUGCUACCUCUUUGCAGUUUUGAUUUGCAUUUGUCUAAUAAUUGGCGAUAUUGAGCAUCUUCUCAUGUCCCUCUUGGCUAUCUGUAUGUCCUUGGAGAAGUAUGUAUUUAGGUCUUCUGUUCAUUUUUUGAAUGGGUUUUUUGUUUUUUUGAUACUGAACUGUAUGAGCUGUUUGUGUAUUUUGGGAAUUAAUCCUUUGUUGGCCUCAUCGUUUGCAAAUAUUUUCUCCCACUCAGCAGGUUGUCUUUUCGUGUUAUUUGUGGUUUCCUUUGCUAUGCAAAAGCGUAUAAGUUUAAUUAGGUCCCAUUUAUUUAUUUAUUGUUUUUAUUUCCAUUACUCUAGGUGAUGGAUCCAAAAAAUAGUGCUGUGAUUUAUGUCAAAUAGUGUUCUGUCUAUGUUUUCCUAAGAGUUUUAUAGUAUAUGGUCUUAAAUUUAGGUCUUUAAUCCAUUUUGAGUUUAUUUGUAUAUGGUGUUAGAGAAUGUUCUAAUUUCAUUCUUUUAUAUGUAGCCGUCCAGUUUCCCCAGCACCACUUACUGAAGAGACUAUCUUUUUUCCAUUGUAUAUUCUUGCCUCCUUUGUCAUAGAUUAAUUGACCAUAAGUAUGUGAGUUUAUUUCUGGGCUUUCUGUCCUGUUCCAUUGAUCUAAGUGUCUGUUUUUGUGCCAGUACCAUACUGUUCUGAUUAUUGUAGCUUUGCAGUCUGCAGUCAGGGAGCUUGAUUCCUCCAGCUCCAUUCUUCUUUCUCAAAAUUGUUUUGGUUCUUCAGGAUUGUUUUUCCAUAUAAAUUAAAAAAUUUUUUGUCCUAGUGCUGUGAAACAUGCCAUUGGUAAUUUUAUAGGGAUCACAUUGAAUCUGUAGCUUGCCUUGGGUAGUCAUUUUAACAAUAUUGAUUCUUCCAAUACAAGAAUACGGUGUAUCUUUCCAUCUGUUUAUGUCAUCGUCAGUUUCUUUGAUCGGUGUCUUGUAGUUUUCAGAGUACAGGUCUUUUGUCUCCUUAGCUAGGUUUAUUCCUAGGUAUUUUAUUCUUUUUGAUGUGAUGGUAAGUGGGGUUGUUCUCUUAAUUUCUCUUUCUGAUAUUUCAUUGUCAGUGUAUAGAAAUGCAACUGACUUCUGUAUGUGAAUUUUGUUAUCCUGCAACUUUACCAGAUUCAGUGCUGAGCUCUAGUAGUUUUCUGGUAGCAUCUUUAGGAUAUUCUAUGCAUAGUGUUGUGCCACCUGGAAACAGUGACAGUUUUAUUUCAUUUUUUAUAAUUUGGAUUCCUUUUAUUGAUUUUCCUUCUCUUACUGCUGUCUCUAGGGCUUCCAAAACUAUGUUGAAUAGAAGUGGCGAGAGUGGCCAUCCUUGUCUUCUUGUUCCUGAUCUCAGAGGAAAGGCUUUCAGCUUUUCAACACUGAGUAUGAUGUUAGCUGUGGGUUUGUCAUAUACGGCCUUCAUUAUGUUUAGGUAUGCUCCCUCUAUGCCCACUUCCUGGAAAGUUUUUAUUAUAAAUAGAUGUUGAAUUUUAUCAAAAGUUUUUUCUGCAUCUCUUGAUAUGAUCGUGUGGUUUUUAGUCUUUGAUUUUUUAAUGUGGUGUAUUACACUGAUUGAUUUGCAGAUACUGAAAAAUCGUUGCACCCCUGGGAUAAAUCCCAGUUGAUCAUGGUGUAUGAUCCUUUUUUACGUAUCAUUGGAGUCAGUUUGCUAGUAUUUUGUUGACGAUUUUUGGACCUAUGUUCAACAGUGAUAUUGGCCUGAAAUUUUCCUUGUGAUAUUUGUCACAAAUCAGGUAUCACAAAAAAAAAAGAUACAUGAUUUGUCUGGUUUUGGUAUGAGGGUGAUGAUGGCCUAAUAAAAUGAGUUCAGAAGUGUUCUUCCUCUGCAAUUUUUUAGAAUAGUUUCAAGAGGAUAGAUGUUAACUCUUCCCUAAAUGUUUGGUAGAAUUCACCUGUGAAGCCAUCUGGUCCUGGACUUUUGUUUUGGGGGAGUUUUAAAAUAGCUGAUUGAAUUUCAGUACUGGUAAUUGGUCUGUUCAUAUUUUCUAUUUCUUCCUGGUUCAGUCUUGGGAGAUCUUACCUUUCUAAGAGUUUGUCUAUUUCUUCUAGGUUCUCCAUUUUAUUGGCGUGUAGUUGCUCAUAGUAGCCUCUUAUGUUCCCUUGUAUUUCUGUGAUGUAAGUUGUAACUUCUCCUUUUUCAUUUCUGCUUUUAUUGAUUUGGGCCCUCUUCCUUUUUUUCUUGAUGAGUCUGACUAAAGGCUUAUCAAAUUUUGUUUAUCUUUUCAAAGAACCAGCUUUUAGUUUCAUUGAUCUUUUCUUUUUCUUUUUUUUUUUUGUCUCUAUUUCUGUUCUGGUCCUUAUGAUUUCUUCCCUUCUACUAACUUUGGGUCUUGUUUGUUCUUUUUCUAGUUGCUUUAGGUGUAAGGUUAGGUUGUUUAUUUGAGAUUUUUUUUCUUGUCCCUGAGGUAAGCUUGUAUUGCUAUAAACUUCCCUCUUAGAACUGCUUUUGCUGUGUCCCAUAGGUUUUGUAUUACCAUGUUUUUGUUUUCAUUUGUCUCUAGGUAUUUUUUGUCUUUGAUUUCUUCAGUGAUUCAUUAGUUGUUUAGUAGCAUAUUGUUUAGCUUCCACAUGUUCGUGGGUUUUGUAGUUUUUUUUCUUGUAGUUGAUUUCUAAUUUCAUAAUGGUUGGAAAAUGUGCUUGAUAGUAAAGUUACUUUCACAGGCUUGCUUUCUGGCCCAGUAUGUGAUCUAUCCUGGAGAAUGUUCUGUGCAUCUGCUGCUCUUGGAUGGAAUGCUCUAUAAAUAUCAAGUCCAUCUAGUCUAAUGUGUCAUUUAAGGUCUGUGUUUCCUUAUUCAUUUUCUGUCUGGAUGAUCUGUCCAUUGAUGUAAGUGGGGUGUUAAAGUUCCUUUUACUAAAUAUUUGCCUUAUGUAUUGAGGUGCUCCUGUGUUGGGUACAUAUAUAUUUAUAAUUGUUGUAUCUUCUUCUUGGAUUGAUUUCUUGAUUCUGUAGUGUCCUUUGUUUAUUGUCUAUUUUUUGUCUGAUAUAAGUACUCCAACCCCACCUUUCUUUUGAUUUCCAGUUGUCUGGAAUACCUUUUCCAUCCCCUCACUUUGUCUGUAUGUGUCUCUAGGUCUGAAGUGGGUCUCUUGUAGGCAGCAUAUAUAUGGGUCUUGUCUUUGUAUACACUCAGCUAGUCUAUGUCUUCAGGUUGGAGCAUUUAGUCCAUUUACAUUUAAGGUAAUUGACAUAUAUGUUUUUAUUGCUAUUUUGUUAAUUGUUUUGGAUUUGUUUCUACAGGUCUUCAUCUUCCCUUCUUUUAUUCUCUUCUCUUGUGAUUUGUUGACUAUUUUUAGUGAUAUAUUUGGAUUCCUUUUUCUUUUUUGUAUGUAUAUCUAUUAUAGAUUUUUCGUUUGCAGUUACCAUGAAGUUUUGGUAUAGCAGCCUAUAUACAUGAUGGUUUAAGAUGUUUAUCUCUUAAUUUCAAAUGCAUUGUAAAUAUCUUGCAUUUAUACUCUCCUCUCCUCAUGAUUAGUGAUUUUGAUAUCAUAUUUAACAUCUAGUUGUUCUGUGUAUCCCUUACCUGUUCAUUGUGAAUACAGAGAAUUGUUUUGUCUUUUAACCUCCCUACUAGUUUGUGUGUGGAUGAUUUCCUACCUUUACUGUAUGUUUGCAUUUAAUGGUGAGCUUUUCCAUUUCAUAAUUUUCUUGUUUCUAGUUGUGGCUUUUUCUUUCUCCCUAGAGAAGUUCCUUUAGCAUUUGUUGUAAAGCUGGUUUGGUGCUGCUGAAUUCUUCUAGCUUUUGCUUGUCUGUAAAGCUUUUGAUUUCUCCAUCAAAUCUGAAUGAGAGCCUUGCUGGUUAGAGUAUUCUUGGUUGCAGGCUUUUUCCUUUCAUCACUUUAGAUAUCUCUUGCCACUCCCUUCUGGUCUGUAUAGUUUCUACUGAAAAAUCAGCUGAUAGCCGUAUGGAAAUGCCCUUGUAUGUUUCCCUUACUGCUUUAGUAUUUUCUCUUUAAUUUUUGUCAUUUUGGUUACAGUAUGCUUGAUGUGUUCCUCUUUGGGUUAAUCCUGUGUAGUACUCUCUGUGCUUCCUGGACUUGGGUGACUGUUUCCUUUCCCAGGUUGGGGAAUUUUUCAGCUAUUAUCUCUUCAAAUAUUUGCUCAGGCCCUUUCUCUCUCUUCGCUUUUUGGGACCCCUAUAAUGAGAACAUGAAUGUGCCUGAUACUGUCUGAGCUCUCUUAAACUGUUCUCAUUUCUUCUCAUUUUUCCUCCUGUUCUGCAGCAGCGAUAUCCAGUACUCUGUCUCCUAGCCCACUGAUCCGUUCUUCUGCAUUAUUUAUUCGACUACUGAUUCCUUCUAGUGUAUCUUUCAUUUCAGUUAAUGUAUUUUUCAACUGUUUGAUUGUUUUUUAUAUUUUCUCUUUAUUAAAAGCUUCUUCCUCUGUGCAUUCAUUCUUCUCCCAAGUUCUUUGAUCACUUCACGAUUAUCACUCUGAACUCUUUCUCAGAUAGACUGCCUAUCUCCACAUCGCUUAGUUCUUCUUCUGAGGUUUUUAUCUUGUUCCUUCAUCUGGGAGAUAUUCCUCUGCCACCUUAUUGUGUCGAAAUUUCUAUUUGUAUUUUUGUGUGGGUUAGUUUACAUUUCUUGACCUUGGAGAAGUGGCCUGUAGGAGACAUCCUGUGUGUCCCAGCAGUGCACUCCCCUCUCCUCACCCAAGGCCAGGCCCAGCUGGUGCCGGGGUGGGGUCUGCCCUGCCUCUGCAGGCUCAGUUCCACAGGUUGCAGGAAUCUCAGUUUUUUUUCUUCCAGUGUCUGCCCUCUAGUGGGUGAGGCUGGUCUAGAGGCUCAGGCGGGAUUCCUGGAGGGAGGGGCUGGUGCCUGCCCAUUGGUGAGUGGAGCUGGAUCCGGGCCCUCUGGUGGGCAGGGGCAGGUCUAGAGGCAGCUCAGGAAGGCUUGGGCAGCUUGUCUGCUGACGGCUGGGGUUGUGUCCUCGCCCAGUUGGUUGACUGACCUGAGGCUCCCCAGCACUGGGACCUGUAGGCUAUUGGGUGCGGCCAGGUCUUGGGGCUAAUGAGCCAAGAUAUUUGCCACCAGAGAGAUCACGCAAAGGGAUAUGUCUAACCCAGGGUGAGCCACAGUCACCCCAUCCCUCCUCAGGAGACCCUCCAGGACCAGAGGGUAGAAGAGCCUAUGAAGUUACUGCUUUUGCCCUUGGUCCCAAUGAUGAGAUUUUGUGUGCGCCCUUUAAAGUCUCUGUUUGCCUCAGUCUCGUGGGACUCCUGCAAUUAAGUCCCACUGGCCUUCAAAGCCAAAUGCUCUUGGGGCUCCCCUUUCUGGUGCUGGACCCCCAGCUGGGGAGCCUGACCUGGGGCUCAGAACGCUCCCUGCUGUGGGAGAGCCUCUGCAGUAUAAUUACUGUGCAGUCUUCCAGAGUGCUGGGGUGUAUGGAGGGUGAAUAAAUCCCGAGUGUGCCGCUCCUACCAUGUCAUUGUGGUUCCUUCUUUAUGUCUUUUAUUGUGGAAGAUCUUUUCUGGUAAGUUCCAGUCUUCUUCAUCAAGAGUUGCUCUUUAGUUAGUUGAUGUGCUUACGAGAGGAGGUGAGCUCAAGGUCCUUCCACUCUGCCAUCUUGGCACGUCUUCCUAAUAAUUUUUCAAUUUACUAGUUUUCAGAAAGAAAUCCAAACACUUUACAUGCUUCAAGGAAAUUUUGAAAUGCAUAUUUACCUCUUCAAAAUUGUAAUUUAUGUGAAAACUCUUUUUGUUGUUCCCACUAUGUUUUAGUUAUGUCUAGCAACCUCAUUUGGACAAAAUAUAUAGAUUCUUCAUUAAUACUAGAUUUUACAUUUAAUUAGCAUGUGUUUUCAAUUCUAAGACUAUCUUGGGGGCCACAUUUUAGCCACUCUAAAGUCGGGCUGUGUACAUUGUAGUAUCUGUGAACAUUUCAUGUAGUAUUUUCCUGUCUUUUUCAUCUUCUACCUCCCCCUACCAAAAAGCUAUUAUUAAAUCUAUGCUGCUUCUUGGCAUUUUAGAAUUGAGGAAAUGUGGAAAGUGCAUGCAUGGAGGAUGGAUGACUGCCUUUGAUUUUGCCAAAAGGAAAGAAAGAGAAAUGAUAAAUAAGGCAGAAGAGGAAUUGCUUCGACUAAAGAUUUGCAAACCUUCUCUCCCUCUUCCCUUACAUUUUGAGUGUGGCUUCAUGUAUGUCUGACAGCUGGGAGUUUGGAAUGACUUUUUCUGCAGUGUCUAAAGGAGAAUAAAAAAAAAAAAGAUUUAAUUUCACUUUAAUUCCAAUAUUUUUAAAUUGCUUUGGUUUAGUAAGUUAAUGAGGUCAGUUAGUUGCUGGAGCCAGAGAGAACACUUUUACCUAGAGAUUAAGUUAAAAACCUUAGAAAGUUAAAUCUAGGGGGCAAUUUUAAAGGUUGUCCAGUCCAGCCAAAGCUUUGGCUAUGGGACCUUGUCCUCUAAGAACCUUCUUUCAGCUUUAGUUCUAGAGUUCUCCUUGAUUCUCUCUUAGCCUGAUGAUUAUGGGAUGUUCUUAGAUAUUUCCUGCCCUAUUACUUUUGAUCUUAAAAUAGCAACCUCUAAGGCAAGUUAAAUUUUCUGGUUGCUGUAGACAUAUAAGUUGCUUAAUGCUCAGCAAAGUGUAGGAAAGAUUUAGGGGUCAAACAGACUGUAGUUCAAGCCUCAGUUCUGCCACGUCUUGGAUGUGUGACUAGUCAAGUUACUCAGCAUCUCUAAACCUUAUUUAUUCAAGUCAUUCAAAACAUCAUCAGUGUCAGUGAGGCUUGCAUAACUAGAAUGUGCCAGCUCUAGCCUAACAAAACAGACAUAGCUUAGCUCAUGAGGAUACAUGGGAAUGAGUUGCCAGUGACAAUCUGGAGGACAAGUUCUCUGAUACGGAUAGCCCUGGCUUGGAAAUGGGGCACACUGCAGCAAACCUUUUGGAGAAAUUGCAUCAAUCUGAGAUGUGAAGAAUGACUAGGGAUAGUCAGAUGGUUAGGAAAAAUCACAAGUGCCUUGCCUAUAAAAUGAGGACACACCUAUGUUGUUGGGUUAUAGUGAGAAACAGACAGUGAAUAUAAUACACCAGGACUGUGCCUGACAGGUCAGUAUUGGUCCAGGAAACAGGGUCUGAAUGGGUACCAUUCUAGGCAAUGGGGAUGCAAAAAUGAGUAGGAUGCUGUCUGUGUCCUACCAGGUCUUAGAAGCUCGAGGUCUGCUUCGAGCUUCCUAGGCUGCCUCUGCUACUGCUCUUGUUUCAUUGCGCUGUGCUUCCCUGUUCAGGCGUCUGAAUCCUGAGACCACCAGCUUAGCGAGGCCAGGAAGGCUUCUCUCUUAUCCACGGCUGUAUCUUCAAUGCUUAGUAGUCCUAGUGGACCUUUGCUAUUCAUCUUAGCCCCGGUUGCAGACGCGGUCACUUCCCUGACAAAUCAUCUGUCCCUUACCUUUUCAGCUUACACCUGCCCAACUUUCAGCUACUUCCCUGCUGAAUUUGCUUGCCUGAAGGUUUCCUCUGUCUGGUGCUCACUCUGCUCACACAUCAGGGAGGAAAGCUAGGAGUGCAGGCGAAUUAAGGGGCAUUAAGCCACACUCACGCUGCUCUCAGUUAGUGGAUAAAUACCUCAGCUCCUGGGCGCAGGGAUGAGUCUGAGGCAUGUCUUGUACACUGGCUCCAAGUCCCCCCUAGAGGAUUUAGUUCUCCUCACCUCACAGGGAUAACUCGAUGCCCAGAAUUAAUUCUGUGGACAGAUGGUAGCAGAGACAACAAUUUGAAUGGUAGCAUCCAGGACCCAGUGCUGGCGGCCCAUGUGAUAAAACCCAGGGCAUGCAGCAUGGCUUCACCCAAACAGUUCCACUUGGGGAUUUUUGAGCACUGCUCCUCGUUAGCCUCCAAACCUGUUUCAUAGGUCCUCUCACAGAUUCUUUGAUCUCUACAGUAUCUUUUGUGAUAAAUACCUUUCCUGCCACUGUGUCAAGGUUGAUUUUUGUAGCUUACAACUAAGAAUGUGGUCUGUGUCAGUCAGGAUAGAGCCAGGAAAACAGUCCUCUGAGUCUUUCAAGUAGACGGGAUUUUAAUACAGAUGUCGUUUAAAGGGGUGAUGGAAAAGCUGGAAAGCCAGACAGGGAGAAAUGAGGCAACUCACAGGUCAGUAAUAGCUGGAAGCUGCCAUCACCCUAGGGCUGGAGGAAGAGAGUCGGUCAUGUGACAGGAGCUAGAAUCAUCUGGGGGCUUCCUGGAGGGGUGUCCAGUGGGAUCCAGGACCUGAAGCUCACAGGAAGGAGGGGAGGUUUUUAAUCCCACACCUCCUGUUAGUUCUAAGUAACCAGAAGCUAGAGGGCACAGGAGCCCAUAAUACAGAGCAGAAGAGGGAAGAGCCAGAAAAUAGACGUGCAAGUCAACAGGCAGUUGACAUGCAUGCGCAGUAGGAGCUCAGAUACUUUAUGGCUGAAUGAGUGAAGAGAAAAACCAGGGAGAGAGCGGGGACCAGAAUCCUGUGUUUAUGUCAACUCUGAAAAGAAGAGGGAGAUAAGAGGACCCCCCUAAGAAGCACAGCAGUCGGAGAGAUGGGAGGGAAAUGAGGCAAGAGAAGUGUCUCGGGUGUCCCGGCCCUGGGGCAGUCAUGUCUGCCAGCCUUGAAACCAGACUUGCACCAGACGGACCUCUGAAUUAUUCAUCGGGUCUAGACAGGAGGCUCGGAGCGCUUAUCCAUGAGCUUUGGGUAUCAUAGCUUCUAAUCCAGGCUAUUCCCUGGGUAACUUGGGUUAUUAAGUGAGGAUAACAGUACAUGCCAACUUUCACUGGGCAAGGUGAGGAGCAGCAAAGAAAAGAUUUUUAAAUACUUGGCAAAACAGAGAAAUGUGUCGCAGCAAGAAUCUUAAUUGAUGACCUAGAGACAUGUGCAUUCAUUCUCACGGUCUGAAUUUAUGGGACUGUCCUCUAUGACUUCCACGAAUAAAUGGAAUGUAAUCUGUUUGUUGGAGGCAGUGCCUCAGAGAAAACAAAAGUGUGUGUUUGGAUUUGUGAGAAGGGACAUGGUGUAAUAGAAGAGCAUAAAUUUAAGAUUCGGGGAACCUCGUUUUAAUCUGAGCUCUGCUGCUCAUGAGCCUUGUGAUUUUAGACAUAUUUUAAACUGAGCUUCAGUUUCUUCAUGUUUAAAAUUGGCAUCAUCAUCAUAAUUCCUGGCUUCAAAUUAAGAUAAUGUUUUUAUGAUUGUGUGGGCAAGCCCCAUGCCAGCACGGAUGGGCACUUUGUAAGUAUUUGUUCUCUUCCUUGGUCUCCCUUCUUUUAUCAUUGCUCCAACCCAGAGGGAAAAAAGUGAGAAAGUAAAAUGUUUUCAAAAAAAAAAAAAAGGCUACUGUGAAUUGUUUUCAUAGGAAAAUGCUUAAAGGAAUUCAAACCCCAAACUCAGUGUUCCUGCUCAUUCUUGAAAGCACCGAAGUCCACAAGCACUGUAAAGCCAGGGCCGUUUACUCAGGAUUUCAGAUGUUCCAUUAAAAAAUUCACCUGCACUUAUUUUAUGUCUUCAAAAAUCCUCACUUCCCAUGGCUGAGUAAAACGAUUUCUUCCUCGGGCGGUGUCUUGCUGUUUCUGGGACCCAGGCAAGGAGUCCCUGUGCCUUUAAGCACGCUGUUUCUUCUGGACGCAGCUGGAAUGUGAUCGCUUCAAGGCUCACUGCAAAGGCGCUGGGCCUGGGCCUGGGCCAGCCCCCGAGGAGGGUUGCCAAGAUACGACACCAGACACAAGACCCCUCCGUCUCCCUCUGGGUUUCUGGAGCAGCUGUCUCUAGCUCUGCUGUUGAAAUCACAGUUCCUUCAUUACAAUCCAAACACAUCUGUCCCCCAGACAAGAAAAUGCUUAAUAAAGGGACUUCCUCCACGCUGGCUAGUCUUGUGGUCUUAUCCAGCCCUUAAAGACAAUGCCCAGGCUGAGUACCACAAGGGAGCCUGUCCAGGGAUGGAGGCCACCCCUGGGAUGUGUCCCCGGGGAGGCAGAGUGCCAGCUAGCAUUGAUACCUGGGGCUGCUGUCAGGGUACUCACCACUUGGCUUGGCUUUGAAACAUCAUUGGGAGCUCAGACAAGAUCAGUUCUCACUGAAGCUUCAUUUGUGCAUCGACAGGUACCUGUAAAUAUAAAUUUUGUCAUGACUUUCUGUGUCAGAAAAUACAAUUUCAAAGCAAAAUGUAUUCUUUAUUCAAAGAAGUGGUGGUAGUGUCAACCCAAACUUAAGCCGUGUCCUAGGUAGUGGAGGUCAAAAAGGAAAGUUCUCCGCCACGGAUUUUUAGGAUUUGCUUGCCCCUGCAGGGCCCUUUUCCAGGCGGGAAAAGAAGCUUCCCAGGAGAGGGGAGACCCAUGUUCUGGGUCUGCGGGAUGGAAUGCUCAAGGAAGGCACUGAUCCCUUCCCAGCACUGGCCCCUGGAGGUGCCAACCCCAUGGUGGACCCCUAGCCCCGGGGCCCCUCUUGGAGGUUGGUGCUCUGGGAUUGCAGCAGUAGCAGCUGGUCCUCCCCUCACCCCAUGUCUGUCUCACUCAGUCAUUUAUUUUGGUAACCAAAUGGCCACAGUUACCCAUGUCCUGUUCUUUCAGAACUAUUUUAAGCCUAUUUAGUCAUUUGUAUUAAUAUUUAAUUCCAUAUUCUAAAUAGAAUGCUACCUCUAGUCGCUUCCUAUUAUGGUAAAGAUUUAUCUCACGUCCCUUUACCCUUCCUCCGUGCUUCCAGUUUGUUACACUCCAGUUCUCGCUGUUCCCAUUAUCUGACAAUGGCGCGUUCACCUGUGAGCCGAGGAGCCUGUGAUCACUAUGGUUCUUUUCUUUUUUGGGGUAUUUUUUCCUAGAGCCUGUCGAUUAUUUUAUUUUUUUAAGAUGUACUCUGUUUUCUCCAUACGUGUUAAGUUUCCCCAGCCCCUUCAAGAGCCUGUAGCAUCCAAGGCACUAUUUUUAGCACAUUAAGUAACGUAUUUAACUUUUUAAAUACCACUGUGAGGUAGGUGGAAUCCAAUCCCCAUUUUACAGAUGGGGACACGAAGCACAGAGGGGCCGACUGGCUGGUGUAGGAUCCUAAGUGGCAGAGGCAGGAUUCGAGCCCAGCCAGUCUGGCUUCUGCAUGCACAUUCCCAAACUCAAGCAGCACAGCCUUAGCUCUAACUUUCUACACAAGCAAGUCUACCAGAUAAGCAACGAGGUAUCAUUUGUUUAAACAGAGCUCUCUCUCCGGUGUGCCCCCCGCCUGUGCUCUUGUGUCCCGCACCUGUGCCCGCUGCCGUCCUCGGACUUCUGCUCACUCCUGUCCGGGGAAUUUCCGACACCUCCCUCCUGUACUGACUCCUUGUUUCCCGGGUAUCACGUCUUCUUUCUUGGUUCACCUCCUUGCUUUAGGGGGAGCCGUCCUGUAGAAGACUUCUUGAGAAAAGGUGCAUGGGACACAAAUACUUUUUAGACCUUAAAUGGCAGGAAGUGUUUCUAUUCUACCUUGAUAGCGUGGAGUCGAGUGUUCACUGCCAUUCUCAUUCUUGACGGUUUAUGUGUGACCUGUUUCUCCCCUUCCUUGAAACGUUCACCGUCUUCCUGGCAUUCUGGAGUUUGACAGCAGUGGCGGGUCUUUUCUCAUUUAUCGUGCUGGGUGCUCAGCAGGCCUUUUUAAGUCUGGACCCUCGUGUUCUGCACGCCCAGAAAAUGUUCUUGUAAUGGUUCUCUUGACAUUUUUCUCUUCUGGAUCCUUACGGUACCAUGUUGGCUUCCUGGAUUCGCCCCCUAGU
This is a long non-coding RNA of Camelus dromedarius (Arabian camel), 16883 nucleotides long. RefSeq lists it as uncharacterized. The transcript has 12 exons. The record is from RefSeq and is a predicted model, not a curated record. Lineage: Eukaryota; Metazoa; Chordata; Mammalia; Artiodactyla; Camelidae.